Molecule: ribosomal RNA, 242 nt
Filed under: uncultured bacterium
Lineage: Bacteria
Description: partial 16S ribosomal RNA
Rfam family: Bacterial small subunit ribosomal RNA
Source: RNAcentral
GAGUUUGAUCAUGGCUCAGGACGAACGCUGGCGGCGUGCUUAACACAUGCAAGUCACGGGGGUCCCGCAAGGGAUAACCGGCGAACGGGUGCGUAACACGUGAACAACCUGCCCUCGUGUGGGGGAUAGCCGGGCUAACGCCCGGGUAAUACCGCAUACGGUCCUUUGGGGGAGUCCCUGGGGGAAGAAAGCUCCGGCGCACGGGGAGGGGUUCGCGGCCUAUCAGCUAGUUGGGGGGUAGU